AAGAAGUCAGGCCGGUUUAAGCCAUAGCACGGUAAGAGCUAUGCUGCCUGUGAGCCCCGUCCAAGGACGUAAAAUGAAGUCAGGCCGAAAGCCACGGCUUGAGCAAACCGUGCUGCCUGUGGCUCCAUCGUGGGGAUGUAAAAACCCGGGAGGCUGCAACCCAUGGAAGCUGUACGCAUGGG
This 182-nucleotide long non-coding RNA is filed under the name dengue virus type 1. RNAcentral's name for it is "Dengue virus 1 partial sfRNA1". Lineage: Riboviria; Orthornavirae; Kitrinoviricota; Flasuviricetes; Amarillovirales; Flaviviridae. The record is from RNAcentral.